GUGGGGAAUCUUGCGCAAUGGGCGAAAGCCUGACGCAGCCAUGCCGCGUGAAUGAUGAAGGUCUUAGGAUUGUAAAAUUCUUUCACCGGGGACGAUAAUGACGGUACCCGGAGAAGAAGCCCCGGCUAACUUCGUGCCAGCAGCCGCGGUAAUACGAAGGGGGCUAGCGUUGCUCGGAAUUACUGGGCGUAAAGGGCGCGUAGGCGGACAGUUUAGUCAGAGGUGAAAGCCCAGGGCUCAACCUUGGAAUUGCCUUUGAUACUGGCUGUCUUGAGUUUGGGAGAGGUGAGUGAAACUCCGAGUGUAGAGGUGAAAUUCGUAGAUAUUCGGAAGAACACCAGUGGCGAAGGCGACUCACUGGCCCAAUACUGACGCUGAGGCGCGAAAGCGUGGGGAGCAAACAGGAUUAGAUACCCUUGUAGUCC
This 425-nucleotide ribosomal RNA is filed under the name uncultured bacterium. RNAcentral's name for it is "partial 16S ribosomal RNA". It matches the Rfam family "Bacterial small subunit ribosomal RNA", at positions 354 to 796 of the family's 1533-position model. The record is from RNAcentral.